Molecule: ribosomal RNA, 776 nt
Filed under: uncultured Neocallimastigales
Lineage: Eukaryota; Fungi; Neocallimastigomycota; Neocallimastigomycetes; Neocallimastigales
Description: partial large subunit ribosomal RNA
Rfam family: Eukaryotic large subunit ribosomal RNA
Source: RNAcentral
GUACACGCUGUGACUAGCAUAUCAAUAAGCGGAGGAAAAGAAACUAACAAGGAUUCCCCUAGUAACGGCGAGUGAAGCGGGAAGAGCUCAAAUUUGAAAUCUUAAAGGGUUUCCCUUUACGAAUUGUAGUUUAAAGAAGUGUUUUCUGUUGAGGUUUUGGUAAAAGUUCUUUGGAAUAGGACAUCAUAGAGGGUGAGAAUCCCGUAUUUGACCUUUACUUUCAACUUUGUGAUACACUUUCAAAGAGUCGGAUUGUUUGGGAAUGCAGUCCAAAAUGGGUGGUAAAUUUCAUCUAAAGCUAAAUAUUGGCGAGAGACCGAUAGCGAACAAGUACCGUGAGGGAAAGAUGAAAAGAACUUUGAAAAGAGAGUUAAACAGUACGUGAAAUUGUCAAGAGGGAAGCGUUUGACACCAGUGUUGUUUUUCUGAAAAUCAAUUAAAGAACUGUUUAUGCUAAGCUUGUUUAGACUUUAUCAGCUAAUCUGUUUAGUUUUGAGCUUUUCUUUAAUGCACUUUUCAGUUAACAAGUCAACAUCAAUUUCUUUUGCUGUAAAAAAGCUUGAGGAAGGUGGCUUGAGAUUCGUCUUAAGUGUUUAUAGCCUCUUGCCUAUGCAGUCGGAGAGAUUGAGGUCUGCAGCGUAGAUCCUUCGGGGCUAAAUGCAUUUGUGCUAAGUUAUAGCAUUUUAUAGACAACUUGUUGACUAUGAUUUGUCUUGUAGCUUACUCGCUUAUGUUAUUUUACCUACGCUUAGGAUGUUGAAGAUGUAGCACAUCAU